GUCAAGUAAUUAAGUGCAUGUGGUGGAUGCCUUGGCAGUCAGAGGCGAUGAAAGACGUGAUAGCCUGCGAAAAGCUCCGGGGAGGCGGCAAAUAUCCUUUGAUCCGGAGAUGUCUGAAUGGGGGAACCCACCUACUUUAAGGUAGGUAUUGCAACAUGAAUACAUAGUGUUGCAAGGCGAACGAGGGGAAGUGAAACAUCUCAGUACCCUUAGGAAAAGAAAUCAAUUGAGAUUCCCUCAGUAGCGGCGAGCGAACGGGGAUCAGCCCAUUAAGUUAUGUGUGUUUUAGUGGAACGCUCUGGGAAGUGCGAACGUAGAGGGUGAUAUUCCCGUACACGAAAGGGCACACAUAAUGAUGACGAGUAGGGCGAGGCACGUGAAACCUUGUCUGAAUAUGGGGGGACCAUCCUCCAAGGCUAAAUACUCCUGACUGACCGAUAGUGAACCAGUACCGUGAGGGAAAGGCGAAAAGAACCCCUGUGAGGGGAGUGAAAUAGAUCCUGAAACCGCAUGCAUACAAGCAGUGGGAGCACCUUCGUGGUGUGACUGCGUACCUUUUGUAUAAUGGGU
Molecule: ribosomal RNA, 570 nt
Filed under: Acinetobacter baumannii
Lineage: Bacteria; Pseudomonadati; Pseudomonadota; Gammaproteobacteria; Moraxellales; Moraxellaceae
Also listed under: 1 other name
Description: partial 23S ribosomal RNA
Rfam family: Bacterial large subunit ribosomal RNA
Source: RNAcentral